AUGCUCACUUUGGCAGCACAUACACUAAAAUUGGAACGAUACAUGGCCCCUGUGCAAGGGUGACACACAAAUGCAUGAAGCAUUCCAUAUGCUU
Small nuclear RNA from Chlorocebus sabaeus (green monkey), 94 nucleotides. Lineage: Eukaryota; Metazoa; Chordata; Mammalia; Primates; Cercopithecidae. The record is from Ensembl.